AAAACACAAAUCUAACAUUUCUCUACCCCAAUUCCCCUUCUCCCGUCUCUCACAUCCGAUUCUCCCCUUCCCCACCGCGCCCCGCUCCUCCCACCGCUGCGAUCUGCCUCGCCGUCCCACCCCGCCCCCUUCUCCUUUCCCCGUUUCAACACCAGACUCUCCCUCCCUCGCUUCAAUUUGCCGUAGUCCAGCCCCAAGUCAGUGCCACCGCCCCUUCCUCUGCACACACUUGCGUGUUAUUUUUCAAAUCUUUAAACCUGAAACCCUACUCAUCGGUCUCUCUCCCACCGCCAGCUCCUUCUCUCAACUGCCGCCCCAAACGACUGUGUCUUCAUGGACGGGCUCAUUCAUCACCCGAAGUCUAGCCAUCGGAGACAGCUGACGGCGACGCUCGGUUGCCCACGCCCUAAUUUCGUCCCCAAAUCCAUCCUCACCCCCGUCGCCGAUGGCCCGUUCCAAGCCCCAGGCUGCCCAACCCCAAUUUCGUUGCACUUCCGUUGAUUCGCCGCCGGUAUUCUCCAUGUUCCGAAAUUCGCCAUCGAGGAAUUCAAAGUGCCUCUCAACCAGGUAUGAUUCUAUUUCUAUUUCCAGUUCCAUCUUUCUGAGCUAUAUUUUUAUUUGUUGAGCCGGCCCAAAGGAUUCUGAAGAAUAUGAUUUGUGAUCUGGAGUUGGUAACUUAUCUGAAUGUUAACUUAACAAUCCGUAGUAAUUUGUGGUGGCCUUUUGUGUUGUA
Salvia miltiorrhiza (redroot sage) is the source of this 733-nucleotide long non-coding RNA. RefSeq lists it as uncharacterized. NCBI's taxonomy places the organism in Eukaryota, Viridiplantae, Streptophyta, Magnoliopsida, Lamiales, Lamiaceae. The transcript is spliced from 2 exons. The record is from RefSeq and is a predicted model, not a curated record.